UUCAAUUAAUGUUUUUUUCUAAACAAUUCAGUGGAACUACAGUGUGAUGAAAGUGCAUGAUGAGACCUGUACCCAGUAGUCACCCUGCUAGAUUCUGGGGGUGGUGGAGACUUUAAAGGAUUUCCUGAUGCUUUCCAUGCUUUCAUGUUAUAAAAGUGGGGAAUUUAGGAAAACAACUUUUCUAAAUGGACAUUGUUUGUUUUUCCUUGUCUUCUGUUCCCUUCUUCACUCUAGGAAAUGUAAAGUCUUGGAAGACACGAUGCUUUAAGGAAUGAAUGUGAUCCUGGAAGAAAACUGAGCUCAAACCUCUGCAUUCUGCAAUCAACAGAAGCUGAAGGCCACAAUGUUUCCCUGCCUUUGUGCUCUAGUCGAGGGUUCCGCCAUUCCCUUAGAAAUAGGGAGUAGUAUGUGCCAUAUACAGUAUUUCACCCUCUCACAUCAAAGUGCCAAAUUAUCUUCUGGUCAUUUCCACUUAUCUCAUAACCCACUGCGACUCUGUAACCAGACUGCCAGAGUUACUCAUAUGCCCGUGCCCUCUUAUGCUGCUCCUGCACAUGAAUUAUCUCUAUUAUCUCCACUUUCUUAUUUCUUCCUGGUAAAGCUGACCCACCUCUGGCUGCCUGUAAUCUGCCACUUGAAAAUGAAAAUCAUCGAUCUAUGAAACGCCAUGAAGGAAGUUUCACCUGCCAAAAAAAAAGUAAUCAAUAUACUGUGUGCCGGUGUUUCAGGCCAGCUCUGUGUGUAAUCUUUUCUUUCUGCAAUCACUGGUGGGGUUUUGUUUGUUUGUUUGUUUGUUUUGGGGGUUUUUUUUCAUCCUUUUACCGACCCUCCCGUACACUUCUAGGUCAUCCCGUCAAUCUCCCCCCAUAGAGAUGUACGUCUUUGCUCCAUCAAAUGUGUUUACUGGGGCGACAGGUCUGACCUUUUGCCCUGCGUGUGUCCAAUCCAAAUGCCAGUUCAGCGGACCAGAAAAAGCAAGACACUCAAAUGGUCCUGGCAUUUGCAGAAUUGCUUCUCUCUCAGUGGUUUCUUUGAUACUAGGCACAGUUUUUUUUUGUCUGGAAAGGAUAACACUCUGAUUAAACUGCAGGGUAUAAACCCAACUACUGGAUCAGAGCCAGAUGUUACAACCCACACUGGUGACCUUGAGUCACGUGUUACCCCGUCCUCUUACACCAGCUGGCAGUUGGGCAGCGAUAUCCAGGCUCCCAAUGGGUGGGCUGAGUCAGAGCCCUCAGGGACCUGAAGAUAGCUGGACGUCUCAGGGAAUGAGCAAACUGGGUGAACUGUAGCAGAUAGGAGAGGUGAAGAAGUGUGAGAUGAGGAGAAUAGAGAGUUGGUUAGUGAGGCAGGGAUUGAUUCAUAUGUCAGGAUAGGCGAUGUCUCCAAGGCAACAGAAGUUGUGUGGAAGCGGGUUGGCAGGAAGGAGAAAGGUGGAUGGCAACAGUCGGAGAAGUGGGGUAAAAAUGGAUGUUAUGACGUGUUGUCCAUAAUGAGUGACCAUAUGUGCUAAGAGUCAAUGCAGACCGACACACACAGUAUAAAGGAACAUGAGGUCCACUACACCUCCUGCAGAGCCUUUGUGCAGUUCCUGGUCAGUCUGACAGUCUUCUGCAUACACUGCCUCCAUUCCUCCUUCCUAUUCUUCCAGGAAGUCAAUAAGACGUCAGGGGGGAAGAUGCCGCGCCACAGUAGUGAAACGAUCUCCUUCAGCUGCUUUUCUCCCCCACACGUAAUUGCUCGUCACUGCCUAUGUGUUGGUACAUCUGUCUCUCCACCGAGAGGACAGACAACAUACUGAAGGUCUUCUGUAUUGCUCAAAGAGGAAGUGCACUGCUGUACUUUUGGGUUUGUAAAGGCCUCUGUGUUGGACAGACAGAGAUGUAGGGUCCAGCCCCUUAAUGAGAGCAGAACAGACACAUUAACCUUUUCUCUGGCUGUAGUCUGUCCUUGUCUCAUCAAUGCUGCAGAUCCUCAGAUGCUUGUGUACAGAUCUCAUUAUUUUGUAAAAGGAAGCUGUUCACAGUGUGAGCCCGAAGUGGUUUGACAUUCAAAUAUUCCUCAGCAGAUAUUCUUCCCAUUUUAAUAAACUUUAAUAUUUUUUUUCCAUUUACAAGGUAGUCUUUG
Long non-coding RNA from Micropterus salmoides (largemouth bass), 2127 nucleotides. RefSeq lists it as uncharacterized. The record is from RefSeq and is a predicted model, not a curated record. NCBI's taxonomy places the organism in Eukaryota, Metazoa, Chordata, Actinopteri, Centrarchiformes, Centrarchidae. The transcript is spliced from 3 exons.